This 73-nucleotide transfer RNA is filed under the name Dictyocaulus viviparus (bovine lungworm). It matches the Rfam family "tRNA". Rfam says of the family: Transfer RNA (tRNA) molecules are approximately 80 nucleotides in length. Their secondary structure includes four short double-helical elements and three loops (D, anti-codon, and T loops). Lineage: Eukaryota; Metazoa; Nematoda; Chromadorea; Rhabditida; Metastrongylidae. The record is from Rfam by way of RNAcentral.
GCCUCGGUAGUGUAAUGGAUCAGCACGGCAGACCGAAUACCUGUAAGUGUGGGAUCGACUCCCGCCUAAGUUC